Molecule: unclassified non-coding RNA, 202 nt
Filed under: uncultured fungus
Lineage: Eukaryota; Fungi
Description: sequence contains ITS1, 5.8S rRNA gene
Source: RNAcentral
CUGAUUUUUUCGUUCAGUUGAUGCUUAGGCGUCCUGGCGAAGACUAACACUUUGUGCACUAUACUGUAGCUUUGGGUUUCUUUGUCUCUACGGCCAAUUAAAUUCGGUCGUUUUGACUUUCUCCAUGCCUUUGGCGAGGAGAGGGAGCCCUGACAUUUAUACAAACCAUUAUUUUUGACUUAUAUCUCUAUGAAAAUAGAAA